This 74-nucleotide transfer RNA is filed under the name Ailuropoda melanoleuca (giant panda). It matches the Rfam family "tRNA". From Rfam's summary of the family: Transfer RNA (tRNA) molecules are approximately 80 nucleotides in length. Their secondary structure includes four short double-helical elements and three loops (D, anti-codon, and T loops). The record is from Rfam by way of RNAcentral. Lineage: Eukaryota; Metazoa; Chordata; Mammalia; Carnivora; Ursidae.
GCCUGGGUGGCUCAGUCGUUAAGUGUCUGCCUUCAACGCAGGGCGUGUCGUGGGAUCAAGCCCCACAUCAGGCU